CAGUCACAGAUAUAAGCUUGCUUCAUGUUCAAACUACUUUUUCAGUCACAGAUAUAAGCUUGCUUCAUGUUGGAACUACUUUUUCAGUCACAGAUAUAAGCUUGCUUCAUGUUCAAACUACUUUUUCAGUCACAGAUAUAAGCUUGCUUCAUGUUCAAACUACUUUUUCAGUCACAGAUAUAAGCUUGCUUCAUGUUCAAACUACUUUUUCAGUCACAGAGCCAGCUUUCUAGAGAUGAGGAGAGGGCUGAACAGUUGUUCAAUUUUGAUACAGCAGCUUCUGUUGCAAAGAAACAGGGACGAUAGGAAGCAGUGACUAAGUUUGUUAUUAAAGUUUCAUGUUGAUAAUUGUCACGUGUAUGUUAAUACUGGUAGACAAGACUGGUAUUUGUGUGAAAUUGUGUUAAAAAAUGACAUUCUGAAAUAAAAAUUUGGUUUUGAUA
Dreissena polymorpha is the source of this 443-nucleotide long non-coding RNA. RefSeq lists it as uncharacterized. Lineage: Eukaryota; Metazoa; Mollusca; Bivalvia; Myida; Dreissenidae. The transcript is spliced from 2 exons. The record is from RefSeq and is a predicted model, not a curated record.